Molecule: ribosomal RNA, 702 nt
Filed under: Alteromonas sp. DG1307
Lineage: Bacteria; Pseudomonadati; Pseudomonadota; Gammaproteobacteria; Alteromonadales; Alteromonadaceae
Description: bacterial SSU rRNA
Rfam family: Bacterial small subunit ribosomal RNA
Source: RNAcentral
UGAACGCUGGCGGCAGGCCUAACACAUGCAAGUCGAACGGUAACAUUUCUAGCUUGCUAGAAGAUGACGAGUGGCGGACGGGUGAGUAAUGCUUGGGAACUUGCCUUUGCGAGGGGGAUAACAGUUGGAAACGACUGCUAAUACCGCAUAAUGUCUUCGGACCAAACGGGGCUUAGGCUCCGGCGCAAAGAGAGGCCCAAGUGAGAUUAGCUAGUUGGUAAGGUAACGGCUUACCAAGGCGACGAUCUCUAGCUGUUCUGAGAGGAAGAUCAGCCACACUGGGACUGAGACACGGCCCAGACUCCUACGGGAGGCAGCAGUGGGGAAUAUUGCACAAUGGGGGAAACCCUGAUGCAGCCAUGCCGCGUGUGUGAAGAAGGCCUUCGGGUUGUAAAGCACUUUCAGUUGUGAGGAAAAGUUAGUAGUUAAUACCUGCUAGCCGUGACGUUAACAACAGAAGAAGCACCGGCUAACUCCGUGCCAGCAGCCGCGGUAAUACGGAGGGUGCGAGCGUUAAUCGGAAUUACUGGGCGUAAAGCGCACGCAGGCGGUUUGUUAAGCUAGAUGUGAAAGCCCCGGGCUCAACCUGGGAUGGUCAUUUAGACUGCAGACUAGAGUCUUGAGAGGGGAGUGGAAUUCAGUGUACGUGAAUGCGUAGAUAUCUGAGGACAUCAGUGCGAGCGACUCUGCAAGACUGCCUAU